AGUGAACAGAGACAAGCCUGCAAGAAGCAUGAACUUUACGUGAGCUUCCGUGACUUAGGAUGGCAGGAUUGGAUUAUUGCUCCAGAGGGCUAUGCAGCCUUUUAUUGUGAUGGAGAAUGUUCAUUUCCACUCAAUGCACAUAUGAAUGCGACAAACCAUGCGAUUGUGCAGACCUUGGUCCAUCUGAUGUUUCCUGAUAAUGUGCCAAAGCCUUGCUGUGCACCGACCAAACUGAAUGCCAUAUCAGUGCUGUAUUUUGAUGACAGCUCAAAUGUAAUUCUGAAGAAGUACAGGAAUAUGGUGGUGAGGUCCUGUGGAUGUCAUUGAGGACAGAUGAGCUUCUGUGUCAUAUUGCUGGAAUAACAUAUCAAAAGAAAUAGUUUUUGACAUUUGAUGUACAGUAUUAUGUAUAUAUUAGCUCAUAAUUCCUCUUAUUUAUUUGGCUUUGUUUUUUAAUAACAAUUUUUUAUAUGAGAGAUGUAGAUGAGUUACCACUCUUUACCACUGAUCCAUAGCUGAUUGCUCUUUCUCUGAAAAUAUCUGAAUAAGUUAGAGAGAGUUUUACAGGAUCAAGUAUAAUUUCCUGUCUUUAGAUUACGUCAAAUUCAUAAACAACCACUCCAAAACAGAACUGCUGCUAUUUUACAAAAUAAGUGUAAAUGCCUUAAACUCUAAGUCACCUAAAUACUUUUUUUUUAUGUGGGGAAAAACAGCCAUAUUGGAUUUUGCAAACAAAUGUUUUUCUUUGUUACUGAAAUUAUUGUGGUGUUGUUGUAAAAGCACUGAGUCCUAGGACUAUACAUAUUUCCUGAAAUAGCCCAAGGUAUUGCAGCCCACAAUUACUGUUCCAUAUUAGUUUGCUUUAGAUAUCAGUGGGUGGAUAUGCAAAAUUAAGUUUGAUUUUUUUCUGCUUCAAGCAAAUAUUCUUCUUCCCUAUAUACACUUGUAUUAGUACUCUGAGUA
Molecule: long non-coding RNA, 963 nt
Organism: Sinocyclocheilus rhinocerous
Lineage: Eukaryota; Metazoa; Chordata; Actinopteri; Cypriniformes; Cyprinidae
Exons: 3
Source: RefSeq, a predicted model, not a curated record